RNAcentral lists this small nucleolar RNA (104 nucleotides) under Aotus nancymaae (Ma's night monkey). RNAcentral's name for it is "Small nucleolar RNA U13 (ENSANAG00000003303.1)". It matches the Rfam family "Small nucleolar RNA U13". The record is from Rfam by way of RNAcentral. Lineage: Eukaryota; Metazoa; Chordata; Mammalia; Primates; Aotidae.
AUCCUUUUUCAGUUCAUAAGCGUGAUGAUUGGAUUUUCAUGUGCAUAUGUGAGAUGUGCCUCCCUCAAAACUUGUUACAACAUUGGCACAUUUCCUGUCUGAAA